GUGGAGGCCUUCGGGGUUCGGCAAGAGCAGUUCUGUGAGCUGGCGGAGCCUGGCGUCUGCCUGCGUGACGUGGAGGAACCGCAGGCGGCGACCGCGGACAGAAUGAUUUUUCAUGGGCCGAUCUGCUGAAUUCAGCCUAGGAGCUGAGACCAACAUCUGAGUCUCUUCAGCACACAAGUUUGAAAGAAGUCCUAGCAACUUCAAGCUCAGAACUACGGGUGGCAGCAGCUCCCUCUUGACGUCGAAGCCUCCCAUUCCAGAGAGAGUCAAGGCCUGGAUCAAACAAAGCCCACAAGCACCGAUGACUGAGCUGCUGACUACCCCCAGCAUCUCCAACUCAACCUCCUCUUUCUGCC
Molecule: long non-coding RNA, 356 nt
Filed under: Homo sapiens (human)
Lineage: Eukaryota; Metazoa; Chordata; Mammalia; Primates; Hominidae
Description: HSALNT0151601
Source: RNAcentral